Molecule: long non-coding RNA, 3052 nt
Organism: Salvelinus fontinalis (brook trout)
Lineage: Eukaryota; Metazoa; Chordata; Actinopteri; Salmoniformes; Salmonidae
Exons: 3
Source: RefSeq, a predicted model, not a curated record
AGUGUGAUUAUUGCCAGGAAACAGAGAUAGUGGGGCAUGCAUUGAUAUAGUGUGUGCAGUAUGAGAGGGAAAGAGGCUGAGAUCUAGUAUGAGGGAGUGUAUACAGGAAAUUAGUUUAAAGAGUAUAUUGAGUAGAACGUCAUUAGAUACAGUCUCAAAUAUUUUUUGUUAGCAUCUUUUUUAAGAGAAACGGGGCUGGCAGGUAGGAUUUAGUCCCUCUGUCUUUAGCCCACACUCCAGUACAGUAGGUGGUGGUAAUGCCCCAUAACGUUGCAUGCCAAACGCCAAUAAACACCACCGAAGAAGAAGUUUGAUGAAGUGGUUCUCCCGACUUACGUAAAACUUGGGUAUGUGAGAUAUGCGGUUAGACUGUAUGUACAGAAGCCGCUGUAGUGUUACAAUUGUAAUAACUUUGGACACGUGACAAGUGUUUGACGAAGGAAUAAAUAUGUCUUAGUUGAAGAGUCAGAUGAAACAGACCGCUGCACUACUCGGGCUCCCGUUACACUAGCAUGCUCCGAACACUUGUGUGUAACAGCAGGCCGCCAGAAGCGUAUUGUCACUGAAAAAUACUGUUGGCUGACAGUUGCAGCCAACAGCGCGAUGGGUAACGAUGCUUCGUGGGCGACCGUUGUUGAUGUGUGCAGAAGGUACCUGGUUCGCGCCCAUGUCGGGGCGAGGGGACAGUUUAAAGUUAUACUGUUACAUUGAUGUUGUUGACCCUGGUUGCUGCGGAAAAGGAGGAGGUUGAAAGGGGGGUGAGUGUAACGGAUGUGAAAUGGCUAGCUAGUUAGCGGGUACGCGCUAAUAGCAUUUCAAUCGGUUACGUCACUUGCUCUGAGACCUGAAGUAGGGUUUCCCCUUGCUCAGCAAGGCCCGCGGCCUUUGUGGCGCGAUGGGUAACGAUGCUUCGUGGGCGACCGUUGUUGAUGUGUGCAGAAGGUCACUGGUUCGCGCCCGUGACGGUUUAAAGUUAUACUGUUACACUAGAUGCCUAAUUAGCAGUUGUUCCCUCCGUCUUCCAUAAACAAGUGGGGUAGCAUGGAGAUAUGUCUUCCAUAAACAAGUGGGGUAGCAUGGAGAUAUGUCUUCCAUAAACAAGUGGGGUAGCAUGGAGAUAUGGCCGUGUGGGAACACUAACCCUAUAAAAGGUGUGUAUCAAUGUAACCCAGUUUUUUGAAAAUAAUUUCUUGCUGAUAUGAAAGAAAAGGUCCUUAUGCUUCCAAAACCAUACCGCAAACGAUGGGAGUUAAUGUUCAGACCGAGCGUCAGGGCUCUUAACAAAACUACUUCAUACAGAAGCCUUCAUCCAAUGACUUAUGUGUAAUGUAAUGGAACGGAGUCAUGAUAAAGGGCUAGUCCUUACCUAGUCCCUUGGUUCAAAACAGAGAGGCAGCUUACUUUCCCCUCAUGUCAGGAUGAUGUGGCAGUCUCAAAACACUCCCAGUGCAUAUCUAGAGGGGUAUCCUACAAAGCAGGGUCUCGCAGUUAGCGAGGUAACUUUGGUAAACUUAGUUCAACUCAGGAUAACCGGUCAUAAGAGAGUGUCUCACCUUUUAGCCAGGUACAUUUCUAUGGCAACGAAUCCUUCAGAACUAACCUGCUCCGGGGCAGGCUAACUCCCCUUCCCUGAAUGAAAUGACAGAGCCACAAGUUGAAGACAAGUCAAAUUCCCUCACUCUAGCAAAGAUUGUGUCAUCCCCUUCAUUUGCAGAAGAUGACUAAUUAAACAUUUUAUUAAUCAAAUGUUUGUGUUAUGUUAAAAUAUCACAUUACACAUUCAGUAAUGACAGAAUGCAUUUUAAACUUCACACAACAACACUUAUGAAAGAAAAUGGUGAUGGUGUGGGUAAAAAAGUGCUUGUGCGUUGACAAGCCCAAAGACAGCAUUAAUGAUAAGUAAUAAAGACAGCACUAGAUGUCCUAACCGACUUGCCAAAACUAUAGUUUGUUAACAAGAAAUUUGUGGAGUGGUUGAAAAACAAGUUUUAAAGACUCCUACCUAAGUCUAUGUAAACUUCCGACUUCAACUGUAUAUGGUUUCCAGUUUGCAUAAAGUCCAGUAAAGUUCCUUGAUGGCCGUCUUGGUAUCCACCUGCGUGGGGAUGUACACGGCUGUGACGAUAACCGAGACGAGUUCUCUUGGGAGAUAAUACGGUAGGCAUUUGAUUGUGAGGAAGGUGAACAAAAGGACUUGAAUUCCUGUAUGUUGUUACAAUUACACCAUGAGUCGUUAAUCAUGAAACAUACACCCCCGCCCUUCUUCUUACCAGAGAGAUGUUUAUUCCUGUUGGCGCAAUGCACUGAAAAUCACGUUGGCUGUAUGGACUCCGACAGCAUGUUCCCAGCUAGCCAUGUUUCAUUGAGACAGAGUAUGUUACAAUCCCGGAUAUCUCUUUGGAAAGCAACUCUUGGCCUGAUUUUGUCGACUUUGUUACCUAGGGACUGGACAUUAGAGAGUAAUAUACUGGGAAGUGGUGGGUGGUGUGUGCGCAUCCGAAGCCUCACUAGAAGACCGCUCCGGCACCCUCUCCUCCGACGGCGUUGUUUUGGGUCGGCCUCUGGAAUCAGAUCAAAUGCCCUGGGAGGUGCAGACAAAGGCUCCGCUUUGGGAAAGUUGUAUUCCUGGUCGUAAUGCUGUGGACAAAUGUUCCAGUGUUCCAACACUCCCAUGGCUGUCUGUCUCCCAUCAGCCCCCCUGGCAGAUGUGGAGGACAAACCACGUGGGGGCCCCUUCCAUGGGGUGAGGAUGAUGAAGGUAAACGCCUACACCUUUUGUAUAGGCAUGGGGUGUGGCAAACUGACUGCAGACGUGUAGCCUAAUUUAGGCUGCAACGAUAUUCAUGUGGGGCAACCCCCUCCUCUCUGGCUGCCUCUGCUCACCAGACUCCUGACGCUGCUCUGGGAAUUCCUACACGUAGGGGCCAGGGUGGCCAAUACGUUUCUGAUCCCUCUUCCUUUCCCAUUGUAAAUCAUUUCACAUCACUCUCCUGCCUCCUCUAAAAAUCUGCUCUUUUUUGUAUCCCACUGUUCAAUAAACUCCUGUGCUGUA